Molecule: non-coding RNA, 108 nt
Organism: Ricinus communis (castor bean)
Lineage: Eukaryota; Viridiplantae; Streptophyta; Magnoliopsida; Malpighiales; Euphorbiaceae
Source: Rfam
AAUCCAUGAUAUGGGCAUUGCAAUAAAAGUGAUUUGAAGCAAUCUCAUGCUUCAUGAAAAGAUUCAGCAUCCUUUUGAUAAAAAUCAGAAAUUUUAGCUCUUAAUUCU